This is an RNA transcript of Epinephelus fuscoguttatus (brown-marbled grouper), 1389 nucleotides long. It is a transcript of the gene named inositol monophosphatase 1-like, with no coding region annotated. The record is from RefSeq and is a predicted model, not a curated record. NCBI's taxonomy places the organism in Eukaryota, Metazoa, Chordata, Actinopteri, Perciformes, Serranidae. The transcript is spliced from 10 exons.
GCGGAGCUAGUAUUUUUCCUACUCUGUCAUGCCAGCUUUUGUAGUUGCUUCAUCUCUCCAGUGAGGGAACUUAAAGCUUGAAGUUUUGCAAAAGAAGGUGCACUGGUAUCUCGGAGUCACCUUUGACAGCCUGCCCACCUGACUUCACAAGGCUCCCCUCUGUAAGCCCUCCAUACAAACAUAAUGGCAGACCCAUGGCAAAAUGCAUAUGAUUUUGCUGUUCAAGUGGCAAGAGCAGCUGGAGCAGUAAUCAGGAAAGCCGCGGAUGAUGAAAUAAAGGUUUCAACAAAGAGCACCACCGUAGACCUCGUCACUCAGACUGACGAGAGGGUUGAGAAAAUCAUCAUCGGCUCUCUUAAAGAAGAAUUUGGAGAUGCACACUGCUUCAUCGGUGAGGAGUCUGUGGCAAAGGGGGAGCCUUGUAUCUUAACUGAUAAACCAACAUGGAUCAUAGACCCUGUGGACGGCACCACAAACUUUGUGCAUGGAUUCCCCUUCGUGGCUGUGUCUAUUGCCUUUGCUGUCAAAAAGGAGUUGGAGUUUGGUGUGAUCUACAGCUGCUUGGAGGACAAGAUGUAUAAAGCAAGGAAGGGGCAGGGAGCUUUCUGCGAUGAUGAGCCGAUUCAGGUGUCUGAUGUAAAAGAUAUCCACAAGUCGAUAAUCAUCUCUGAGCAUGGGACUGACAGGAGCAAAGAAAAAGUAACCAAGAUCUUCAACACCAUGCAGAAGAUUCUCUGCAUCCCAGUGCAUGGGCUCCGUGGGUCAGGGACAGCUGCCACCAACAUGUGUCUGGUGGCGAUCGGAGCAGUGGAGGCCUUCUUUGAGAUUGGGAUCCACUGCUGGGACAUCGCUGCUGGAGCGGUUAUAGUCAAAGAAGCCGGAGGAAUACUACUGGAUGUCGAUGGGGGAGAGUUCGAUUUGAUGUCUCGAAGGAUGGUUUCAGCAAACAACAAGGUUAUUGCGAAGCGGAUCAUCAAGGAAAUUGAAAUAUUCCCAGCGGAGAGGGACGACGCUCCGGUGCAGAAGAAAUGAGAAUAUCCAAGUGCGUUUCAAAAUGAGUGCAAGAGGAACAAGUUCCAGUCUUUCACUCUGGCUGUGAAUUCGGUCGCAAAUGAAGAACGCAAAGGUGUAGGAGCAAGCUGAGAGCCAGAACUAACAGCGACGGCGAAUGGAGCAGCAGCAGCAGCAACACAAACAGCAGGAGCAACAACAGCAGCAGCAAUAACAGCAGGAGGUUGUGGGGGGAUGAGGAGUGUUUGAACUGGUGCCUUUGAAACAUAAAAACUGCAAUUUCUUUGUAUAAUUAUGCUUCUAUACAUCUGCCACUGCUGUAGUGUAUGAUGAUGUGUGUGAUGUUUCAAUAGAGAUGUUGUUUGUCUGUCUUUCAAA